This 493-nucleotide unclassified non-coding RNA is filed under the name Hevea brasiliensis (rubber tree). The record is from RNAcentral. Lineage: Eukaryota; Viridiplantae; Streptophyta; Magnoliopsida; Malpighiales; Euphorbiaceae.
AAUCGCCAUUAAAAUUGUCAACGAAGCUUGAAAACAGCAGCAGAUCACUCUAUGAAUAUCUGAUAUUCUUAUACUAAUCAACUGUGAAUCUGCACUUCUUUUUGACGAAGAAAUCGAAUGUACAGUUUACUAAAGAAGCACAAGUUUCAACAGAGUUAAUAACUUUUUUCUCCAGGGUCUCUAGAGGCAGUUGAUUCUGCGUGGAAUGGCGGGCAGCAACAUUAAUCAGCCCUUAUUAGACCAGCUGCCUAAAACCCUUCAAAAUGUUGAUUCAAGGAGAAGAAGACUUCGUCGACUUAAAAGUGCUCCUAUGCCGGAAUUUAUUCCUGGAGAAAUGAAUGACAUAAAGGACGACCAAUCACUCCCACGUUACGAGUCAAUAUUGAAUAAACUACAUCCAAGUUUUAGGAAAGUCAUUCUGUACCUGGUUAUAUACUUGGGAAUUGGUACCACAUGCUUUUACUUUGUUCAGAACCAGAUCCAGGGAAAGAAA